AGAGAUCAUGGCUCAGAAUCAACGUUGGCGGCGUGCCUCAGACAUGCAAGUCGAACGAUUAAACUUUCCUUCGGGAAAGAUAUAAAGUGGCGCACGGGUGAGUAACACGUAAGUAAUCUGCCUUUGAGUGGGGAAUAACCCGGGGAAACCCGAGCUAAUACCGCAUAAUGCAGCGGCACCGCAAGGUGACAGUUGUUAAAGGAGCAAUCCGCUUAAAGAGGAGCUUGCGGCAGAUUAGCUAGUUGGUAAGGUAAUGGCUUACCAAGGCUACGAUCUGUAACCGGUCUAAGAGGACGGUCGGUCACACUGACACUGAAUAACGGGUCAGACUCCUACAGGAGGCAGCAGUCGGGAAUUUUGGGCAAUGGGCGAAAGCCUGACCCAGCAACGCCGCGUGAAGGAUGAAGUAUUUCGGUAUGUAAACUUCGAAAGAAUGGGAAGAAUAAAUGACGGUACCAUUUAUAAGGUCCGGCUAACUACGUGCCAGCAGCCGCGGUAAUACGUAGGGACCAAGCGUUGUUCGGAUUUACUGGGCGUAAAGGGCGCGUAGGCGGCAAUUCAAGUCAUCUGUGAAAUCUCCGGGCUUAACUCGGAACGGUCAGAUGAUACUGCUUUGCUAGAGUGCAGAAGGGGCAAUCGGAAUUCUUGGUGUAGCGGUGAAAUGCGUAGAUAUCAAGAGGAACACCUGAGGUGAAGACGGGUUGCUGGGCUGACACUGACGCUGAGGCGCGAAAGCCAGGGGAGCAAACGGGAUUAGAUACCCCGGGUAGUCCUGGCCCUAAACGAUGAAUACUUGUUGUCUGGAAUUAUUAUUGUUCCGGGUGCCGCCGCUAACGUUUAAAGUAUUCCGCCUGGGGAGUACGCACGCAAGUGUGAA
RNAcentral lists this ribosomal RNA (877 nucleotides) under uncultured Acidobacteriota bacterium. Its description in RNAcentral is "bacterial SSU rRNA". It matches the Rfam family "Bacterial small subunit ribosomal RNA", at positions 8 to 898 of the family's 1533-position model. Lineage: Bacteria; Pseudomonadati; Acidobacteriota. The record is from RNAcentral.